GACGAACGCUGGCGGCGUGCCUAAUACAUGCAAGUCGAACGCUUCUUUCCUCCCGAGUGCUUGCACUCAAUUGGAAAGAGGAGUGGCGGACGGGUGAGUAACACGUGGGUAACCUACCCAUCAGAGGGGGAUAACACUUGGAAUCAGGUGCUAAUACCGCAUAACAGUUUAUGCCGCAUGGCAUAAGAGUGAAAGGCGCUUUCGGGUGUCGUUGAUGGAUGGACCCGCGGUGCAUUAGCUAGUUGGUGAGGUAACGGCUCACCAAGGCCACGAUGCAUAGCCGACCUGAGAGGGUGAUCGGCCACACUGGGACUGAGACACGGCCCAGACUCCUACGGGAGGCAGCAGUAGGGAAUCUUCGGCAAUGGACGAAAGUCUGACCGAGCAACGCCGCGUGAGUGAAGAAGGUGUUCGGAUCGUAAAACUCUGUUGUUAGAGAAGAACAAGGACGUUAGUAACUGAACGUCCCCUGACGGUAUCUAACCAGAAAGCCACGGCUAACUACGUG
Molecule: ribosomal RNA, 508 nt
Filed under: uncultured bacterium
Lineage: Bacteria
Description: partial 16S ribosomal RNA
Rfam family: Bacterial small subunit ribosomal RNA
Source: RNAcentral